ACGUGCCCUACACUGCAGUCGAGGGGGUAGGACACUUCGGUGUCUGAGACCGGCGCACGGGUGCGUAACGCGUAUGCAAUCUGCCUUAUACUAAGGGAUAGCCCAGAGAAAUUUGGAUUAAUACCUUAUAGUAUAUAGAUGUGGCAUCACAUUUAUAUUAAAGAUUUAUCGGUAUAAGAUGAGCAUGCGUCCCAUUAGCUAGUUGGUAUGGUAACGGCAUACCAAGGCAAUGAUGGGUAGGGGUCCUGAGAGGGAGAUCCCCCACACUGGUACUGAGACACGGACCAGACUCCUACGGGAGGCAGCAGUGAGGAAUAUUGGUCAAUGGGCGCGAGCCUGAUCCAGCCAUGCCGCGUGCAGGAAGACUGCCCUAUGGGUUGUAAACUGCUUUUACAGAGGAAGAAACCCCCCUUCGUGAAGGGGCUUGACGGUACUCUGCGAAUAAGGAUCGGCUAACUCCGUGCCAGCAGCCGCGGUAAUACGGAGGAUCCGAGCGUUAUCCGGAAUCAUUGGGUUUAAAGGGUCCGCAGGCGGGCGUCUAAGUCAGUGGUGAAAUCCCGCGGCUCAACCGUGGAAUUGCCAUUGAUACUGGUCGCCUUGAAUCAGUGUGAAGCGGCUAGAAUAUGUGGUGUAGCGGUGAAUGCUUUAGAUAUCACAUUAGCAUAGCGAUUGCGAGGCAGGUUCGCUUAAACUUGCAUGACGCUGAUGACGAAGGCUGGGAGCGACAGAAUUAGAAUACCUUGAUAGUCCUAGCCUUAAACGAUGAAUGCUUGGUGUCUGGGGUUUUAUAGUCCCCGGGUGCCGUCGCUAACGCUUUAAGCAUUCCGCCUGGGGAGUACGGUCGCAAGACUGAAACUCAAAGGAAUUGACGGGGACCCGCACAAGCGGUGGAGCAUGUGGUUUAAUUCGACGCAACGCGAAGAACCUUACCUGGGCUAGAAUGCCUCUGACCGGCGUAGAGAUACGCCUUCCUGGGUAAAACCAGGCAGAGUGCAAGGUGCUGCAUGGCUGUCUCAGCUCGUGUCGUGAGAUGUUGGGUUAAGUCCCGCAACGAGCGCAACCCUCGUCCUAUGUUGCCAGCGCGUUAUGGCGGCGGGGACUCAUAGGAGACUGCCGGGGUCAACUCGGAGGAAGGUGGGGAUGGGGUCAAAUCAUCAUGCCCCUUAUGUCUUGGGCUUCAAGCAUGCUACAAUGGCCGGUACAAAGGGCUGCGAAACCGCGAGGUGGAGCGAAUCCCAAAAAGCCGGUCUCAGUUCGGAUUGGGGUCUGCAACUCGACCCCAUGAAGUCGGAGUCGCUAGUAAUCGCAGAUCAGCAACGCUACGGUGAAUACGUUCUCGGGCCUUGUACACACCGCCCGUCACAUCAUGAAAGUCGGUAACACCCGAAGCCAGUGGCCCAACCCCUGUGGGAGGGAGGUUUCGAAACGGUGGGUAG
Molecule: ribosomal RNA, 1436 nt
Filed under: uncultured Aequorivita sp.
Lineage: Bacteria; Pseudomonadati; Bacteroidota; Flavobacteriia; Flavobacteriales; Flavobacteriaceae
Description: partial 16S ribosomal RNA
Rfam family: Bacterial small subunit ribosomal RNA
Source: RNAcentral